AUGGAGGGGAGCAGCAGCGGCAAGCACUUCAUCCUCGUCCACGGCCUCUGCCACGGCGCGUGGUGCUGGUACAAGCUGGUGCCGAUGCUCCGCGCCGCCGGGCACCGCGUCACCGCGCUCGACAUGGCCGCGUCCGGCGCGCACCCGGCGCGCAUGGACGAGGUGCCAUCCUUCGAGGACUACUCGCGGCCGCUGCUCGACGCCGUGGCCGCGGCACCGGCCGGCGAGAGGCUCGUCCUGGUCGGGCACAGCCUCGGCGGGCUCAACAUCGCGCUCGCCAUGGAGACGUUCCCGCGCAAGGUCGCCGCGGCCGUGUUCCUGGCCGCGUGCAUGCCGUGCGUCGGCAGGCACAUGGGCGCCACCAAAAUUGUUGGCAGCAAAGCUGAUCAUACGCUGGCUACGAUGCUGGUGAGACCGGGCUGCCAGUUCUUGGAUGACCCGACGAUGAAGGACGAGGUUCUGCUCACUGACGCCAACUACGGGUCGGUGAACAAGGUGUACGUGGUGGCCAUGGCUGACGCUUCAAACUCCGAGGAGAUGCAGCACUGGAUGGUCGACCUGAACCCCGGCACGGAGGCCGAGGAGAUCGCCGGAGCCGACCACAUGGCCAUGUGCUCCAAACCCAGGGAGCUCUGUGGUGUCCUGCUCCGGAUCGCCGACACCGACACGUAUGAAUGA
RNAcentral lists this ribosomal RNA (678 nucleotides) under Triticum aestivum (bread wheat). RNAcentral's name for it is "partial small subunit ribosomal RNA". The record is from RNAcentral. Lineage: Eukaryota; Viridiplantae; Streptophyta; Magnoliopsida; Poales; Poaceae.